UAAGCUGCCUGAUCUACAGACAUGAAAC
This 28-nucleotide non-coding RNA is filed under the name Mus musculus (house mouse). The record is from RNAcentral. Lineage: Eukaryota; Metazoa; Chordata; Mammalia; Rodentia; Muridae.